AUGAUGCAUCUCCCAAUUCAUCUUGCUGAAGAGGCCCGAUUGGGAGGGCCUGUCUUGUACAGAUGGAUGUAUCCAAUUGAGCGAUACUUGCGUAUGCUCAAAGGAUAUGUGCGUAAUAAUGCUCAACCAGAAGGUUCUAUUGCAGAGGGGUACAUACUUGAAGAGUGCAUGACUUUUUGCAGUCGAUUCGUUGAUGGAAUGCCUACCAAGCUAAGUCAGUCCGAACAUCAUGAAGACGGAGGUACAGAUCAACCAUCAACAGGAAUUAGCAUCAUGAGUACAGUUGAUUACUCCAAGAAAGGUUUUUUUUGUGAAUCAUUGUCUUUGGCUGAGAUUAAUCAAAUGAGGCAUUUCAUAAUAACAAACUGUGAGGAAACUGUGCCAUGGAUUGAUGAACAUCUUGAGGAGCUGACAAGUAAAAAUUCUCCUAAUCCUAAAAGGCAGCACAAGGAAGAGUUUGUUGGCUGGUUUGAGAGACGGAUCACAGAACUCCACAAUGAUGGGAAGGUGUGA
Molecule: ribosomal RNA, 513 nt
Filed under: Triticum aestivum (bread wheat)
Lineage: Eukaryota; Viridiplantae; Streptophyta; Magnoliopsida; Poales; Poaceae
Description: partial small subunit ribosomal RNA
Source: RNAcentral